AUGUUGCAGGUGCAGCAUAGCCUCCAUGAGCUACUACUCCUGCUGCAGGCGAGGUCUCCGUCUCCACAUGCAGCCCUAGUGGUCUAUGCCUUGCUCGUCUGCCCUCUUCUCGUCAUCCUGGUCGUGCGCCGCUUUGGGACGGCCACCGCAAGAGAGCAGCUGCUGAGCAAGCUGCCUUCUCCCAGCUUCAGGCUGCCCAUCAUCGGCCACCUGCACCUCGUUGGCUCCCUCCCGCACGUCUCCCUCCGCGACCUCGCCGCCAAGCACGGCCGCGACGGGCUCAUGCUCCUCCGCCUCAGCGCCAUCCCGACGCUCGUCGUCUCGUCGCCGAGCGCUGCCCAGGCCGUGCUGCGCACGCACGACCACGUCUUCGCGUCCCGGCCCUACUCCCCCGUCACCGAAAUCCUCUUCUGCGGCCCCUCGGACGUCGCCUUCUGCCCCUACGGCGAGCACUGGCGGCAGGUCAAGAAGAUCGCCACCACGCACCUGCUCACCAACAGGAAGGUCCGCUCCUACCGCCAUGCGCGCGAGCACGAGGUGAUGUUGGUCAUGGCCAAGAUUGGAGAUGCAGCCUCCAAAUGCACCUCCAUCGACUUGAGUGACCUUCUUAGUGCCUUCACAUGUGACAUCGUGUGCCAUGUCGUCUCCGGCAAGCUUUUCAGGAAACAAGGCCACGAUAAACUCUUUCAUGAGCUCAUCGACGCCAACGCAUUGCUUAUCGGUGGAUUUAACCUGGAGGACUACUUUCCCAUGUUGGUGAAGCUGGGCAUCAUCAAGAGGAUGGUUUGUGCCAAAGCUCGAAAGGUUAACAAGAUGUGGGAUGACCUUCUCAAUAACCUCAUCGAUGAGCAUGCAAGCAAGCCGACGUCAGAACAUGACAACGAGGAGAAUGACUUCAUCGAUGUGUUGCUUUCUAUUCAACACAAGUACAACCUCACGAGAGACCAUAUUAAAGCCCAGAUGGCGAUCAUGUUCGAAGCUGGGACAGAUACAUCAUUUAUAGUACUGGAAUAUGCGAUGAUUCGGCUCGUGCAAAAUCCCCACCUCAUGCAGAAGCUACAAGAUCAGUUGAGGAGUUCUAUACCAAAGGGAAAAGAAAUGGUUACCGAAGAUGAUAUCAACAAUUUGGCCUAUUUGGAGGCGGUCAUCAAAGAGACACUUCGGCUCCACAUGCCCGCACCGCUCCUUGUGCCCUACCUCUCCAUGGUCGACUGCAACAUAAAAGGCUACAAGAUACCUUCAGGAACACGCACCAUCAUCAAUAGUUGGGCCCUUGCAAGCACUACACCACGGUUAAGUUUUGGUGACACAUCAAUCUGUUGGAAUAUGGUACCUUUGCCGACAGAUAAUUUGCCGCUAACACAUAUGCUGACAGAAGACAAAAUAGUCGGAGGACUUGCUGUGGGCAAAGGUAUUGCCGACAGAAGUUCACUUGCCGACACUUUUUUGGUCGGCAUACACCCUACCUACGCCGACAGAUGA
Molecule: ribosomal RNA, 1482 nt
Filed under: Triticum aestivum (bread wheat)
Lineage: Eukaryota; Viridiplantae; Streptophyta; Magnoliopsida; Poales; Poaceae
Description: partial small subunit ribosomal RNA
Source: RNAcentral